GACGAACGCUGGCGGCGUGCCUAACACAUGCAAGUCGAACGAUGAAGCUGGAGCUUGCUCUGGUGAAUUAGUGGCGAACGGGUGAGUAACACGUGAGUAACCUGCCCCGAACUCUGGGAUAACUGCUGGAAACGGUAGCUAAUACUGGAUACGACCUACGAAGGCAUCUUCUGUAGGUGGAAAGAAUUUCGGUUCGGGAUGGACUCGCGGCCUAUCAGCGUGUUGGUGAGGUAAUGGCUAACCAAGGCGACGACGGGUAGCCGGCCUGAGGGUGACCGGCCACACUGGGACUGAGACACGGCCCAGACUCAGACGGGAGGCAGCAGUGGGGAAUAUUGCACAAUGGGCGCAAGCCUGAUGCAGAAACGCCGCGUGAGGGAUGACGGCCUUCGGGUUGUAAACCUCUUUUAGUAGGGAAGAAGCGAAAGUGACGGUACCUGCAGAAAAAGCACCGGCUAACUACGUGCCAGCAGCCGCCGUAA
RNAcentral lists this ribosomal RNA (482 nucleotides) under uncultured bacterium. Its description in RNAcentral is "partial 16S ribosomal RNA". It matches the Rfam family "Bacterial small subunit ribosomal RNA", at positions 28 to 523 of the family's 1533-position model. The record is from RNAcentral.